CGCAGCCCGACGCGUGUGCCAUAUACAAAGUCCAAAUCGAUGCUUCAAGAAUCGCCAUGGCCGACGGAAGUCCGGAGAGCGUCAACCAAACUCCGCACAAAUUCUUCAACUUUUGCAUCAGGAAAGAAGGAAGAAAUCGUUCUCUCCCUAAUCGCUUCGUGUUGUAGCAUUGGAAGUGAUCGUCAGCAUGGAGGAAGUAGUCGCAGUUAUCUGUUGGCUGCUCUCAACUCCGCAAAGCAGAAAGCAGCUGGACUCGGAUGGUCCCAACCUGUUGCAACAGCAAAAUGCCCGAAGAAUUAAUGAUGCAGCAUCAUGUGUUACUCCACAAGCAUAUUUAAGAAGAUCACACUAACAUGAUAUUUGAUGUCAAUCAUGCUUCCCCCCCCAAAAAAAAAAAGUUGACCUGAUUACUUUUGAAUUGAGAUAAGGAUAUUGAUCUUGAAACUUA
Long non-coding RNA from Musa acuminata AAA Group (dessert banana), 448 nucleotides. RefSeq lists it as uncharacterized. The transcript is spliced from 2 exons. The record is from RefSeq and is a predicted model, not a curated record. NCBI's taxonomy places the organism in Eukaryota, Viridiplantae, Streptophyta, Magnoliopsida, Zingiberales, Musaceae.